RNAcentral lists this ribosomal RNA (664 nucleotides) under uncultured bacterium. RNAcentral's name for it is "bacterial SSU rRNA". It matches the Rfam family "Bacterial small subunit ribosomal RNA", at positions 202 to 859 of the family's 1533-position model. The record is from RNAcentral.
CGGGACCUGCCGCCUGGAGAUUGGCCCGCGGCCCAUUAGCUUGUUGGCGGGGUAACAGCCCACCAAGGCGACGAUGGGUAGCCGGCCUGAGAGGGUGUCCGGCCACACUGGGAUUGAGAUACGGCCCAGACUCCUUCGGGAGGCAGCAGUCGAGAAUCUUCCCCAAUGGGCGAAAGCCUGAGGGAGCGACGCCGCGUGAGGGAUGAAGGCCCUUUGGGUUGUAAACCUCUGUUAGGGGGAAAGAACAGCAGUGGGAGCAAUAUGUCCAUUGCCUGACGUUACCCCCAGAGAAAGCUCCGGCCAACUCCGUGCCAGCAGCCGCGGUAAUACGGGGGGAGCAAGCGUUGUCCGGAAUCAUUGGGCGUAAAGGGCGUGUAGGCGGUUUGGCAAGUCGAAUGUGAAAUCCCACGGCUCAACCGUGGAACUGCGUUCGAAACUGCCUUACUUGAGUGCGGGAGAGGUGUGCGGAAUUCCUGGUGUAGCGGUGGAAUGCGUAGAUAUCAGGAAGAACACCGGUGGCGAAGGCGGCACACUGGCCCAGCACUGACGCUGAGGCGCGAAAGCGUGGGGAGCGAACGGGAUUAGAUACCCCGGUAGUCCACGCUGUAAACUUUGGGCACUAGGUAUUGGAGGUCUCAACCCCUUCAGUGCCGUAGCUAACGCG